AAAAGGUGGCUAUACUACCGCUUUUGGAUGGGCCCGCGGCGCAUUAGCUAGUUGGUAGGGUAAAGGCUUACCAAGGCAAUGAUGCGUAGCCGAAUUGAGAGGUUGAUCGGCCACAUUGGGACUGAGACACGGCCCAAACUCCUACGGGAGGCAGCAGUAGGGAAUCUUCCACAAUGGGCGAAAGCCUGAUGGAGCAACGCCGCGUGGGUGAAGAAGGUCUUCGGAUCGUAAAACCCUGUUGUUAGAGAAGAAAGUGCGUGAGAGUAACUGUUCACGUUUCGACGGUAUCUAACCAGAAAGCCACGGCUAACUACGUGCCAGCAGCCGCGGUAAUACGUAGGUGGCAAGCGUUAUCCGGAUUUAUUGGGCGUAAAGGGAACGCAGGCGGUCUUUUAAGUCUGAUGUGAAAGCCUUCGGCUUAACCGGAGUAGUGCAUUGGAAACUGGGAGACUUGAGUGCAGAAGAGGAGAGUGGAACUCCAUGUGUAGCGGUGAAAUGCGUAGAUAUAUGGAAGAACACCAGUGGCGAAAGCGGCUCUCUGGUCUGUAACUGACGCUGAGGUUCGAAAGCGUGGGUAGCAAACAGGAUUAGAUACCCUGGUAGUCCACGCCGUAAACGAUGAAUGCUAAGUGUUGGAGGGUUUCCGCCCUUCAGUGCU
Molecule: ribosomal RNA, 658 nt
Filed under: uncultured bacterium
Lineage: Bacteria
Description: bacterial SSU rRNA
Rfam family: Bacterial small subunit ribosomal RNA
Source: RNAcentral